Molecule: long non-coding RNA, 2062 nt
Filed under: Olea europaea subsp. europaea
Lineage: Eukaryota; Viridiplantae; Streptophyta; Magnoliopsida; Lamiales; Oleaceae
Source: RNAcentral
AUACUGAGUGUCACCAUUUAAUGCAGCUGGAGUCAAAUUAAUCAAAUAAUAGGCAAUCAUAACAGCCUCACCCCAAAACAACUUAGGGACACUAGAACUUAACAUCAUGCAACGUACUUUAUCAAGUAUAAUCCUAUUCAUCCUUUUCACUACCCCGUUUUGCUGGGGAGUGUAAGGAAUAGUCUUGUGUCUAGUUAUGUCAUUUUCUUUACACAUACUAUCAAAUUCCGUAUUGCAGAAUUCUAGGCCGUUAUCUAUCCUUAAAAUUUUGAUUUUCUUACUAGUUUGGUUUUCCACUUGUCUCUUCCAGUUAUUAAAAUUAUGAAAAGUCUCGGAUUUAUCUUUCAACAUAUAGACCCACACUUUCCUAAUAUAGUCAUCGAUAAUAGACAGGAAAUACCUAUUUCCACCCAAUGUGGGAUUACUAGCAGUAUCCCACAGAUCAGAAUACACAUAUUCAAGCAUGCCUUUAGCUUUAUGAACACUCGUGGAGAACAAAGUUUAUGAUGCUUACUAAGCACACAGUGAUCACAAAAUGACAAAUCUGACAAACAGUCACUAAAUGCACCUUUUUCAUUAAGUAACUUAAAUCCCUUAAUGCCUACGUGUGUAAGUCUAUUAUUUCAUGUGUGUGUGUGUGAUCAAUCUUGACAGAAGAGUUAGAGGAGUUCAAACCUCUAAUCACUUUCCCAGUAGUAAUAUUAAUGUCGUUUUUCUUAGUUCCCUUAAUGGAAACUAAAGCACCCUUAAUCAUUUUUAGCAUACUAUUUCCAAUUUUACUAGUGAAGUCAUCCUUUUCAAGUCUCCCUACGGAAAUCAAAUUCCUAGACAAUUUAGGAAUAUAUCUAACAUCUUUUAACGCGUACACAAAAUCCGUGUCAAAUUUUACGUUUAUGUUACCAAUUCCAGCAAUAGUAUAGGCAAAGUUAUCACACAGCACAACAUGCCCAACGUUAGAUUCAUACAAAUUAUAAAACCAAUUCUUUUCAGACGUCACGUGGAACAAUGCACCAGAAUCAAGUAUCCACUCAUGCAUACGGGAAUUAGCAGUUAGAUUCAAUUCAACAGCGUAUGCAACUGAACUUGUAAGCAUAUAGACCUCAUCGUUAUCUAUCUCAAAUGUAGAGGAUAACACAUUUACCUCAUCUCUUUCCUUAAUCUUUAACUUGCCCUUUUCUUUAUGACAAUUUUUUAUAAAAUGCCCUGUGUUUCCACAGCCAUAACAUUUUCUGGCCUUCGUCCUAGAUUUUGAUCUAGAUCUACCCUUGCCCUUCUUUUUCCAUCCACUGCCACUUAACUCGCCACCACUUUGAUAUCCAUCAUCACUAUUUUGCCUAAAUUAAGUUCUACCCCACAUCAUAUGUAACUCACCGCUCCUCUUAUCGUGUUUUUCAGCCCUAAUUUCCAUUUCUUUGUUCCUAAGGGAGUCUAUGACAAUUUCAAGUGUUAACGUAUCUCUACUAUACUUAAUGGUGUUCUUAACUUUCUUAUAAGAAUCAGGGAUCACAUUGAGCAAAAUUAUAGCCUUAUAAGUUUCGAACACAGCCUCAUCACAAUUAACUAUACCCUGUACCAACUUGUUAAACACAUCUAAAUUAUCAUCGAGAUCCUUUGAAGGAUCCAUUUUAAAAUUGAAAAAAUGUUCGAGCAAGUAGAGUAUAUUCGGUGUAGACUUAAGCAAAUAUAAGUUUUCUAAUUUUUUCCAAAGUUCUUUAGUGGUUUUCAGUUUAUCCACCUUUCUUAAAACAGCGUCAGACAAAUAUAAAAUGAUUGAGGUGUAAGCAAGCUCAUCGGCUUCUUCUCUUUGUUCUUUUGAAAAAUCAGUUGAAAAAUUACCUUCAAUAGCCUUUGAAACCUUUUGUUGAACUAAAAUACCCUUCAUUUUUUGUUGUCAAAUAGAAAAGUCACCCUUUCCGUUAAAAAUCUUCAAAUCAAAGUUGUGAGUUGUCAUCUUCACACAACAGUUAAAGAAUGCACAAAACACAAUCAAACAACACAAAGUAGUCCUAGAGUCACAAACAAUAUACGCCGUUCUAGAUUCCCAGGGUUUCGUAAGACUCAC